CCAAUAGCGUAUAUUAAAGUUGUUGCAGUUAAAAAGCUCGUAGUUGAAUUUUGGGUUUGGCCGAUUGGUCCGUUCUUGUAGCGAGUACUGGUCGGUUGGGCCUCACCGCUUGGGGAAGGGUAAUGUCCUUUAUUGGGUGUUGCUCGGAGCCAAGACCUUUACCUUGAAAAAAUUAGAGUGUUUAAAGCAGGCUUAUGCCGGAAUCCAUUAGCAUGGAAUAAUAGAAUAGGACAACGAUUCUAUUUUGUUGGCUUCUAGGACCGUUGUAAUGAUUAAUAGGGAUAGUUGGGGACAUUAGUAUUCAAUUGUCAGAGGUGAAAUUCUUGGAUUUAUUGAAGACUAACUACUGCGAAAGCAUUUGUCAAGGAUGUUUUCAUUAAUCAAGAACGAAAGUUAGGGGAUCGAAGACGAUCAGAUACCGUCGUAGUCUUAACCAUAAACUAUGCCGACUAGGGAUCGGGCGAUGUUGUUUCAAUGACUCGCUCGGCACCUUAUG
RNAcentral lists this ribosomal RNA (496 nucleotides) under uncultured Glomeromycotina. Its description in RNAcentral is "partial small subunit ribosomal RNA". It matches the Rfam family "Eukaryotic small subunit ribosomal RNA", at positions 591 to 1092 of the family's 1831-position model. Lineage: Eukaryota; Fungi; Glomeromycota. The record is from RNAcentral.